UAUCAAAUAAAGGGAUUUCACCUUUGAUAGAUGAUCCUAAAUCAGCUGCAUUAACUUUGCUAAUUUGAU
This 69-nucleotide transfer RNA is filed under the name Koreoleptoxis globus ovalis. Its description in RNAcentral is "tRNA-Leu". Lineage: Eukaryota; Metazoa; Mollusca; Gastropoda; Pleuroceridae. The record is from RNAcentral.